UGAACUCACAAUCCUUCUCUAUUUCUGAAGUGCUGAGAUGACAGGUAUGUACCACCACAUCCAGUUAAUGUGGGGGUAGGGAUAGAUUCAGGGCUAUCAUGGGUUUUUUUGUUUGUUUGUUUGUUUGUUUGUUUUUCCUUUAUUUUUUCUUUGUUUGAGACAGGGUCUCACAUAGCCUGGGCUGGCUUUUAUUGCGUAUCCAUGGAUGACCUUGAAGUUUUUAUCUUCCUGCCUCUACUGUCCAACUGCUAGGAAUAUUGGGGUGCACCAUAAUGCCCAGUGUCUUAUACUGCAAAAUGUAGACCCUAGGGCUUGGUAUGUGCCAAGCAAGUACUCUACCAACUGAGCUACAUACUCACCCCUCACCUUCUCUCUAUUUUGUUGUGAGUCAGGGUCUUUCUAUGUAACCCUAGCUGAUCUGGAACUCACUAUAUAAACCAGGCUGGCCUUGAACUUAGAGAUCAGUCUGCCUCUGCCUCUGCCCGUGUGUACUUUUGUAGGUUAAUGGCAUGUACCAUCACACCUGGUUCCAAAAUGAAUAUGUUUAAUGAGCAUGAAGUAACGGGAGUUUGAAGGUAAUCUUCAAAAAAAAAAAAAAAAAA
This 602-nucleotide long non-coding RNA is filed under the name Rattus norvegicus (Norway rat). RNAcentral describes it as "long non-coding RNA NONRATT026600". The record is from RNAcentral. Lineage: Eukaryota; Metazoa; Chordata; Mammalia; Rodentia; Muridae.